CAAGGGGCAGCAGUAUAUGGCGCCUGGGCCUAGGCAGAACCUGAUGGAGCCUGACAGCAGUAUAUUGAGCUUUAUCCUGACAGAACCAUGCCGAUUUUCCGUCACCAAAGCUGAGUAACUUGGAACUUUCAAGGAACAUUAAAAAGCAGAGGCGUGUGUAUUACUCUAACAAGUCUCAGAGCAUGGAUCUGUUCUGAAGAUGUAUUGCAGCAAUACUCCAGCAAAGUGAGAUGCCAAUAAUGGAGCAGGAGAAGUCUAUGAUCAGCUAUAUUACUCACAGCCAGAUACUCAUGAGAGGAAGAGUGCAGGUGCAGCUACAAUGGGGUAUACUUCGAAGAUGAAACUCAGACCAUGUACAGAUGGAAUAAGGCUUUGCCAGGAAACCAUGGAAAGCUGAUAUAUAAAUAGUAAAACAGCAAUUUCUAGAAAAUAUAUUUGACACACAGCUGCCGGAGCUGCAUUUUGUGUAACAGGGCUCAUGAAGUGAAAAGUGUCACUAUUAGUUAUACUAUAUCAAACUGGUCAAACAUAAUUUUUAGCUGAAAUAAAGCAAUUCUAUUUCCUGGAAA
This is a long non-coding RNA of Hemicordylus capensis (graceful crag lizard), 569 nucleotides long. RefSeq lists it as uncharacterized. The record is from RefSeq and is a predicted model, not a curated record. The transcript is spliced from 2 exons. NCBI's taxonomy places the organism in Eukaryota, Metazoa, Chordata, Lepidosauria, Squamata, Cordylidae.